Molecule: ribosomal RNA, 774 nt
Filed under: uncultured Neocallimastigales
Lineage: Eukaryota; Fungi; Neocallimastigomycota; Neocallimastigomycetes; Neocallimastigales
Description: partial large subunit ribosomal RNA
Rfam family: Eukaryotic large subunit ribosomal RNA
Source: RNAcentral
UACGACUACAUAUCAGGCAUAUCAAUAAGCGGAGGAAAAGAAACUAACUAGGAUUCCCUCAGUAACGGCGAGUGAAGCGGGAAGAGCUCAAAUUUGAAAUCUUCAAGGUUUUACCUUGACGAAUAUGUAGUUUAAAGAAGUGUUUUCUGUUGAAGUUUUGGUAAAAGUUCUUUGGAAUAGGACAUCAUAGAGGGUGAGAAUCCCGUAUUUGACCAUUAUUUUCAGCUGUGUGAUACACUUUCAAAGAGUCGGAUUGUUUGGGAAUGCAGUCCAAGAUGGGUGGUAAAUUUCAUCUAAAGCUAAAUAUUGGCGAGAGACCGAUAGCGAACAAGUACCGUGAGGGAAAGAUGAAAAGAACUUUGAAAAGAGAGUUAAACAGUACGUGAAAUUGUCAAAAGGGAAGCGUUUGACACCAUGUGUUGUUUCUACGAAAAUCAAUUAUGAAUGGCUUGAUUCUAAGCUUUAAGACUUUAUCCGCUUGUUGUUUAGUUUUCUUGUCUUUGUGAAUGCACUUUUCGUGGAACAAGUCAACAUCAAUUUCUUUUGCUGUAAAAGGGUAAGAGGAAGGUGGCUUCGGCUUCGGUUGAAGUGUUUAUAGCCUUUUAUCUCUGCAGUCGGAGAGAUUGAGGUCUGCAGCGUAGACUCUUCGGGGUUAGAUACGUCGGUGCUAAGCUAUAGCUUUUCAUAGACAACUUGUUGACUAUGUUUAGUCAUGUGGCUUACCCGCUGGCGCUAUUUUACCUACGCUUAGGAUGUUGAGCGCAUGUCUCUCUC